Long non-coding RNA from Salmo salar (Atlantic salmon), 1127 nucleotides. RefSeq lists it as uncharacterized. Lineage: Eukaryota; Metazoa; Chordata; Actinopteri; Salmoniformes; Salmonidae. The record is from RefSeq and is a predicted model, not a curated record.
UAACGAUUUCAGGAUGUGGAGGACCGCCCUCUGGAGGUGUAUGCAAUUGAUGUGAGAAAUAUCAAAACGUGUGUUUGUAGCCAGCACUUUCAGCCAGAGGAUUUCAAAACCGAACUGAAGUCUUAACAAAUGGGGUUGUCAUGUCGUCGAAAGUUGAAAAGUGAUGCUAUUCCAUCGAUUUUCCCCUUCACUUCAAAGAGGAAGGAUUCUGAUCAGCCAACAUCAGCGCAGCAGAAAAAUUCAUGCCGAGACCUCCACGCUGCCUGUUUCUGCAUGAUUCAAGAAGGCAAUGAGCUCCUUCGUUUCUGAUUUAUGGAGGCUUAGUUGAUUCUUCAUUCAUGGCUUGAAGUCUAAACUGGAGAAAAGGAGGAGACUUGCAGUACAUACAAAUCUUCUGCAAGAUGUCGAAGCAGUUGGUGGUGAAGAACAUUGCCACAGUGCCAAAGCCUGUUAAACCUGCUGCUAUUACCCAACACAAGACGAUGUUCACGAGCUGAAGAACAUUCUGGAACCUGCCUGGAACAUUCAACCAACACAACAUCCAUAUUCAGUUAGACUGAUGUUGUAGUAUAAGAAUGUGCGCAACUACGUUGUGGUAUAGAUAGGUUUAGGGUUUCCACAUGGCCAUAUUUACAUGUUACAGCGCUUGUUUACGGAAAACAGAAGACCGAGUGGACUAAUUAGCUAUCUGUGUCUCCGAACACCUGUGUGUAAACGGAAGACAGAUGUCACAAACGUGUUGUCACUGAAAAAUACUGUUGGUUGUAACUGUGUUAAAACAGUCUACAGUAAGUGUGAAUUUUGCAUUUGUGAAAUGAUUUUGAUGUGAUAUGAAGGUAGAGGGAUUUAUGUUUCUUGAACCGUAUCGCAGUUGAGAAGCGAUUCACAUUUACACAUUUGCACUGUUUUGUCUACCAGAGCCAAUUCACCCUUUAAACGGAAAUGUAAGGUCCCUGGACUACGGAGUAACGAUAGGCUCCUUUAGUCCAAUAUUGGGCCAAGAUAUUUCUAGCUGUUGUACAUAUGUAUAUAAUGGUGUUUUUAUAUAUAUAUUUUUUUUUACAAGUGUACUGACAAGUGCCUAAUGAUUCCAGCUGCAUCAAAAACCAAUAAAGUGUUGACUUCAA